CGAUUUCUAAUCCGCCCAGGUGUGCGUGACCGCAAGGUCCGCAUUAAACGGGAAGCCGGUGCGCUCGUUGAGCAAGGCCGGCGCUGCCCCCGCAACGGUAAUCGACCGUGAUCCGCCGGAUCACCGCCCCGCUCAACGGCCACUGUGCAUCGCAUGGGAAGGCGAGCCGGGUGCGUGUCGAAAGCCCGGAGACCGGCCUGGCGGAUUCGACUGGU
This 215-nucleotide non-coding RNA is filed under the name Stutzerimonas stutzeri. The record is from RNAcentral. Lineage: Bacteria; Pseudomonadati; Pseudomonadota; Gammaproteobacteria; Pseudomonadales; Pseudomonadaceae.